AGAGUUUGAUCCUGGCUCAGAACAAACGCUGGCGGCGGGCCUAACACAUGCAAGUCGUACGAGAAAGGGUCCUUCGGGACCUGGGGAAAGUGGCGCACGGGUGAGUAACGCGUGGAUUAUCUGCCCUUCUUCUGGGAAUAACUCAUCGAAAGGUGGGCUAAUACCGAAUAAUACUGUGAGACCUUGGACGAUCAGUCACCGAGAGGCUCUGCUUGCAUGCCCUCGCUGAAGGAUGAUUCCGCGUACCAUUAGGUAGAUGGUAGGGAAAUGGACUACCGAGGCGAGGAUGGAUAGGUGGACUGAGAGGAUGAUCACUCACACUGGAACUGAACUCCGGUCCAAACUCCUACGGGAGGAUAUUGUGAGGAAUCUUGCGCAAUGGGGGCAACCCUGACGUGCAACGCCGCGUGAGUGAGGAAGGUCUUCGGAUCGUAAAGCUCUGUCAGAUGGAAAGAACCGCAUAGUGGGUGAAUAUCCCCUAUGUCUGACGGUACCAUCAAAGGAAGCACCGGCUAACUCCGUGCCAGCAGCCGCGUGUAAUACGGGGGGUGCAAGCGUUGUUCGGAAUUAUUGCGGCGUAAAGAGCGUGUAGGCUGGCCUGAUGUGUCAGAUGUUCAACCUCCUGAAUCUUAACCCAAUAAGUGCAUUUGAAACUGUCAGGCAUGAGUAGGGGAGAGGCGAAGUGGACUUCCUAGUGUAUAGAUGUAAUUCGUAAAUAUCAUGAGGAACGCCGGUGUCUAAAGCGACUUCGUGGCUCUAUACUGACGCUGAGACGCGAAAGCGUGAGUAGCAAUCUGGAUUAUAUACUCUCGAAAGCCAUACGCAGCUAGACGAUGUGCACUAGUGAUAGGUGUAUGGACCACCCUCAGUGGCUGAAGCUCACCGCACUGAGGUGAACCGCCUGGAGAGCUACGAUCUCAAGAGUAAAGACUCGAAGGCACUC
Molecule: ribosomal RNA, 943 nt
Filed under: uncultured bacterium
Lineage: Bacteria
Description: bacterial SSU rRNA
Rfam family: Bacterial small subunit ribosomal RNA
Source: RNAcentral